AUGGAAGGCAGAAAUGGUUCUUCUUUACAGCUGCUACUGUUCCACUCACCCAUAGCUGCAUUGACUUCUCUUCCUAUGAGAAGUCAAUGCAUACUUUCCAUAGACUGGUCCAGUUCAGAUUCACUUCCGUGGACAUUGAGUUGGACAUUUGAUGUACGGGGUGCCUUUCACCGCUUCUCUUAUGAUUUAUUUUACAAAGGCUGAUCAUCCUUUGGGAUCUUUUAAGACUAUAUUAAAAUCAUAGUGCAAUUGCCAUUCGCUAUUCUCUUGAUUUAGAUGAGUCAGUCACUCUAAAGCAGUGGUUCUCAACCUGUGGGUCAACAGGUGUUUUAGCCUACAACUCCCAGAAAUCCCAGCCAGUUUACCAGCUGUUAGGAUUUCCAGGAUUUGAAGGCCAAAACAUCUGGGGACCCACAGGUUGAGAACUACUGCCCUAAAGUAUAUACUUAUCUCUAUUUAGGAGAAUAGACAAUACGAUACAUUUCAUGCAAAAGGAAAAUGUAUACGGCGUCUUCUUUUAGUUAGAUAUCCCUUUCUACAUUGGAUGAGGAAGUUUUAGUUUGGGUUUGUAUCAGUGCCAUAUCGGAACAGUAGCAUGUGAAUGUUUGACAGAUGAUCACCAAAAACUGACUAAUUUCAUUGCCAAGGUGGUUAAAUAUGUCUGACAGAAGGAAAAGUGAACUUGAAACUGAUAAAAAUUUGUACAGGUGUGACUUUGAGAACUGCCUAGGUUACUACUGAUCAGGGAAUACAGACCACUAUCAUGGUAACCAUGUGAGGUACACAACUUGAUUCCAGAGAAAAUGAAAUGUAAAAAGCACAGACUUACAUUAUCUUUACAAAGUCAGGGACUACACCAGAUUUGAGCCCCCCAUGGCACAGCAUGUUAAAGUGCUGAGCUGCUGAACUUGUGGACUGAAAGGUCGCAGAUUCGAAUCUGAGUAGUGGAGUGAGCGCCCGCUUUUAGCCCCAGCUUCUGCCAACCAAACAGUUUGAAUACAUGCAAAUGUGAAUAGAUCAAUAGGUACCACUCUGG
Molecule: long non-coding RNA, 1036 nt
Filed under: Anolis carolinensis (green anole)
Lineage: Eukaryota; Metazoa; Chordata; Lepidosauria; Squamata; Anolidae
Description: lncRNA (ENSACAG00000036448.1)
Source: RNAcentral